UGGGGAAUAUUGCACAAUGGGCGCAAGCCUGAUGCAGCCAUGCCGCGUGUGUGAAGAAGGCCUUCGGGUUGUAAAGCACUUUCAGCGAGGAGGAAGGUGGUGAACUUAAUACGUUCAUCAAUUGACGUUACUCGCAGAAGAAGCACCGGCUAACUCCGUGCCAGCAGCCGCGGUAAUACGGAGGGUGCAAGCGUUAAUCGGAAUUACUGGGCGUAAAGCGCACGCAGGCGGUUUGUUAAGUCAGAUGUGAAAUCCCCGGGCUCAACCUGGGAACUGCAUUUGAAACUGGCAAGCUAGAGUCUCGUAGAGGGGGGUAGAAUUCCAGGUGUAGCGGUGAAAUGCGUAGAGAUCUGGAGGAAUACCGGUGGCGAAGGCGGCCCCCUGGACGAAGACUGACGCUCAGGUGCGAAAGCGUGGGGAGCAAAACAGGAUUAGAUACCCUGGUAGUCCACGCUGUAAAACGAUGUCGAUUUUGGAGGUUGUGCCCUUGAGGCGUGGCUUCCGGAGCUAACGCGUUAAAUCGACCGCCUGGGGAGUACGGCCGCAAGGUUAAAACU
RNAcentral lists this ribosomal RNA (557 nucleotides) under uncultured bacterium. RNAcentral describes it as "partial 16S ribosomal RNA". It matches the Rfam family "Bacterial small subunit ribosomal RNA", at positions 355 to 901 of the family's 1533-position model. The record is from RNAcentral.